GAAAAACUCCCUGUUGUUAUUCCUAGUAAACCAGAAGCUCCAGCAGCUAAAGAACCUGCAGUGACAAAGAAAACUGUCCCACUUAAGAAAAUACCUGCUGCUGUCCCUAAAGAAGCUCCUCCAACUAAAGUUCCUGAAGUACCAAAGAAAGAUGUCCGCAAAGAAAAAAUACCUCC
Cygnus olor (mute swan) is the source of this 176-nucleotide long non-coding RNA. RefSeq lists it as uncharacterized. Lineage: Eukaryota; Metazoa; Chordata; Aves; Anseriformes; Anatidae. The transcript is spliced from 3 exons. The record is from RefSeq and is a predicted model, not a curated record.